This 176-nucleotide small nuclear RNA is filed under the name Catagonus wagneri (Chacoan peccary). RNAcentral's name for it is "U2 spliceosomal RNA (ENSCWAG00000013403.1)". It matches the Rfam family "U2 spliceosomal RNA". Rfam says of the family: U2 is a small nuclear RNA (snRNA) component of the spliceosome (involved in pre-mRNA splicing). Complementary binding between U2 snRNA (in an area lying towards the 5' end but 3' to hairpin I) and the branchpoint sequence (BPS) of the intron results the bulging out of an unpaired adenosine, on the BPS, which initiates a nucleophilic attack at the intronic 5' splice site, thus starting the first of two transesterification reactions that mediate splicing. The record is from Rfam by way of RNAcentral. Lineage: Eukaryota; Metazoa; Chordata; Mammalia; Artiodactyla; Tayassuidae.
AUAUAUACAUCACCAGUGUCUUACCUGUUCUUAGCAGUUUAAGAUCUGAUACGACCUCUAGCCGAGGACUAUGUAUUAGAUGGAUUUUUGGAACUGGGAGACGGAACAGGAGUUUGCUCUGUCCAACCCACCCAUCGACCUGAUGCUGCAGAACUUCCAGGAAUGGUGCACCAAAA